GAAAGCAUCUAAGCACGAAACUUGCCCCGAGAUGAGUUCUCCCUGACUCCUUGAGAGUCCUGAAGGAACGUUGAAGACGACGACGUUGAUAGGCCGGGUGUGUAAGCGCAGCGAUGCGUUGAGCUAACCGGUACUAAUGAACCGUGAGGCUUAACCUUACAACGCCGAAGCUGUU
This 175-nucleotide ribosomal RNA is filed under the name Escherichia coli. Its description in RNAcentral is "partial 23S ribosomal RNA". It matches the Rfam family "Bacterial large subunit ribosomal RNA", at positions 2773 to 2925 of the family's 2925-position model. Lineage: Bacteria; Pseudomonadati; Pseudomonadota; Gammaproteobacteria; Enterobacterales; Enterobacteriaceae. The record is from RNAcentral.